This 505-nucleotide ribosomal RNA is filed under the name uncultured bacterium. RNAcentral describes it as "partial 16S ribosomal RNA". It matches the Rfam family "Bacterial small subunit ribosomal RNA", at positions 28 to 507 of the family's 1533-position model. The record is from RNAcentral.
GACGAACGCUGGCGGCGUGCCUAAUACAUGCAAGUCGAACGCACAGUUUAUACCGUGGCUUGCUACACCAUAGACUGUGAGUUGCGAACGGGUGAGUAACGCGUAGGUAACCUGCCUGGUAGCGGGGGAUAACUAUUGGAAACGAUAGCUAAUACCGCAUAAUAUUGAUUAUUGCAUGAUAAUUGAUUGAAAGAUGCUAUUGCAUCACUACCAGAUGGACCUGCGUUGUAUUAGCUAGUAGGUGAGGUAACGGCUCACCUAGGCGACGAUACAUAGCCGACCUGAGAGGGUGAUCGGCCACACUGGGACUGAGACACGGCCCAGACUCCUACGGGAGGCAGCAGUAGGGAAUCGUCGGCAAUGGACGAAAGUCUGACCGAGCAACGCCGCGUGAGUGAAGAAGGUUUUCGGAUCGUAAAGCUCUGUUGUAAGAGAAGAACGGGUGUGAGAGUGGAAAGUUCACACUGUGACGGUAUCUUACCAGAAAGGGACGGCUAACUACGUG